Long non-coding RNA from Bubalus bubalis (water buffalo), 1065 nucleotides. RefSeq lists it as uncharacterized. The transcript is spliced from 2 exons. The record is from RefSeq and is a predicted model, not a curated record. Lineage: Eukaryota; Metazoa; Chordata; Mammalia; Artiodactyla; Bovidae.
CAGCCCUGGGCAGGCAAGGGCAAGCUUGGAGGCUCUGGGGCCACAGGCUCCCAGGAGGGCGUAGGGCAAGAACUAGAGAGUUCCUCCCCUCGGGGCUUCCCUGAUAGCUCAGUUGGUAAAGAAUCUGCCUGCAAUGCAGAAGACCCUGGUUCGAUCCCAGGAUCGGGAAGAUCCACUGGAGAAGGGAUAGGCUACCCAUGCCAGUAUUCUGGCCAGGAGAAUUCCAUGGACUACCAUGGGGUCACAAAGAAUCGGACACAACUGAGCGACUUCACUUUCACUUUGGCCUCAGCCCAAAGCGGGGUCUGGUCUCCCAAUACCAGCCCUGAGCCCCAGCCCUGGAAUUCUCUUCCCGUCUGGCCUUCCCAGGCUGGGGGCCACUUUCUCCCUUCCCCUCCGGCCAGAGGGCGCCCAUACCUGCGCAGACCAGGUCGUCUCUACACCUUUCUGUGCUGUGGGCUGAUCGCGACAGCCUCCAGGGAAUCGCAGCGCCGGCCUAGACGGAAGGAGACAGCAGAGGAAGAUGCCGCCAACAGGCUGACCGCCCCGUCGAGGCCGGUUCGCCGGCCUCACCCUUCCGGCGGGCGGGCGCGGCCCUGGCUCCGCCUCGGCGGCGGAAGGGAGGGCAGCCCGGAGGCCUGGGAAGCGCUGACCCGGCCGCCCGCCUUCCCAGCAGACUCCGCCUUCCUCUCCCGCGAGGGACCGGGCGCCGCCGGCGGCGGAGGCUCUGAGGCGCCAGGCGAGCCGUGACUCAGAGCCGGUCCUGGGCCCGACCUGGAGCGCCUGGUGCACCGAGGGGAGCCCCGCGGCGAGCCUGGGCGCCCCCCAACCGCCCCCCCUCCCCAGGACAAGAGCCUUCUCUCCAAGUCUUCGGGCUGCGCACUCCUAGGUUCUCUGCAUGGCCGCAGGCGAGCGGACGCAGGAACGCGCAGUGUACUUAUUUCCCGGACCAAGGACGGAACCUGCGCCGAGUCCUAACCACUGGACCGCCAAGAAAUUGCUGGGGAAAUGUUUUUUAAAUACAUGAAGUCAUGCUGUGCUUUAAAAAAUAAAAACUAAAAAUAU